This 259-nucleotide ribosomal RNA is filed under the name uncultured bacterium. RNAcentral describes it as "partial 16S ribosomal RNA". It matches the Rfam family "Bacterial small subunit ribosomal RNA", at positions 335 to 587 of the family's 1533-position model. The record is from RNAcentral.
GUCCCACGGGGCGCAGCAGUGGGGAAUAUUGCGCAAUGGAAGAAAGUCUGACGCAGCGACGCCGCGUGAGGGAUGAAGGUUUUCGGAUCGUAAACCUCUGUCAGGAGGGAAGAAAGCGCAUGGCGCCAAUCACCGCUGCGUCGCCGCUCCCUCCCCCCCCACAGCCGGCUAACUCCGUGCCAGCAGCCGCGGUAAUACGGAGGGCGCGAGCGUUAAUCGGAAUUACUGGGCGUAAAGCGCGCGUAGGCUGUUGUGUAAG